GACCGUAACAAGUUUAUGCUCUGCUCACUUGGUGCUUUCAUAAACUCAGAUCUGUCUGCUUGCCUGUGUAUAUGCUUACUGGAUCUUGAACUAUUUUCUUCCGCGAGGGUUCUUUUAGGUGGGAAACAAUCAGAAUCAUAGUGAUUGUUCUCUCCCAUGUUAAGCAUAUUCAGCUGCAAGCCUUCUACUACACUUUUGCCCUUGGAAAAGUCUCAUAAGGUGCAGAUUAUUUGGGGAAGCUCACAGAAUAUUUGCUUUUACCAUACCAGGGUCUACUUCUACAUCCUUUAAAGAGUGGUGGUUGAGUAUGCACUGUUUUCUCCUCCUUUGCUUCAGCUAAGAAUAUUGGUGUUACUUGGAAGUGUAAAAGUGGAUCAACACUAGGAAAGACAGUGGUGCAAGAUGUUUGGCAUAUGAUGAGUAAAAGUACCCAUCCAUAGCAGAAAGCACAAGUUUGACUCCGUAGAGGUGUUUCUCUUGUUUUGAACAGAGACAAGGCCUUUUAUGCUUCUCACCCCACCAGCAAGGAGGCUGGGAGUGCAUAAGAAGUUGGGAGGAAACGCAGCCAGGACAGGUGAUACCAACUCACCAUAAGGAUAUUCCAUACCAUGUGGCAUCAUGCUCAGCAUAUAAAGAUGGAUAAAGAAGAAUGAAGGCACAUUUGAGAUGAUGACAUUUGCAUUCUCAAGUAACCCUCACAUGUGAUGGAGCCCUGCUUUCCUGGGGAUAGCUGAACAUCUGCCUGCCCAUGGGAAGUGGUGAAUGAAUUCCUUGUUUUGCUUUGUUUGUGUGCAUAGCUUUUGCUUUACCUAUUAAACUGUCUUUACCUCAA
This is a long non-coding RNA of Pseudopipra pipra, 832 nucleotides long. RefSeq lists it as uncharacterized. Lineage: Eukaryota; Metazoa; Chordata; Aves; Passeriformes; Pipridae. The transcript has 3 exons. The record is from RefSeq and is a predicted model, not a curated record.